UUUGGAGGAUCAAAAUCUUAAAAGAAUGGCUCUUUUUCUUACUUGUUUUCCUUUUCCUCUUUGGAUGGAUUUUUUUUUCUUUUUUGCAACUUCAAGGUGACUGGUUGAAUAAAAAGGAACUAGGAUCUUCUCGCACGUGUAAAGAUGAGCUUCCCUCCUGAAAUGCCCUACUAAAGAUGUCGUGAAAUGGUGAGGAAAGCAGGAAAUUGGUGGUUUCCAGCGUCACUAAUGUCCUGCUAAUGUCAAAUCUGAAAAUUGCCAGACACAAGCCUACGUCUACUUUGCCUGCAAGAGCUCCUUAAAGAAUUUGUCAUAUCAAGAAUCACCUGUAAAAUGAAAAAGCAACUCAAAAGUACCCAAGAGGCCUGUCCACUUACUGGUGACAACUGUGCCAUUCCCAGGAAUAUCUCGGUCGGCUUGGUCAGCAUGCCCAGGAGAACACGUUCCACUUCCCAACUCCUCUCUGCACGGAACAAGAGUGGUCAGAACCAGGCACUUGGGCAGCACCCCCGGAACCAAGACGGAGGAGCUGGGCCGAGGAGAUACAGCUGGUACCUGGCCAAGCAGUUUUCCUCCGCAGCGCAUCUCAGGUUGUACAUGGCCGUCUUCUGCACGUACGUGGACGCCUGGAUGUAGUAGGGGUCGGGCACCAGGUCCGGAAGACCUAAACGUCAGCCAGGCGAUAGGCAAACCAGUGAGACAACUCCGCGGCCCUCACCCUGGCUCCGGGUCCCUCCAUGUCCCUUACUCCUCACCCUUCACCCAGCCGGACUGCGGUUGUAGGGCUGCGGCUAGCAGAAGAAUGGGGACGCCGAGGGCUGCAAAGCAAUGUGGAAAGAAAGCAGGAGGGGCCAGGCGCGCGGUUUGCAGCAGAUUCCAGGGCUGCCUCUGCAGGAGCAGGGGGAGGGAUGGGAUCUGCAUGGACUGAGGCCUGCCGCGCCCAGGCAGCCACGUCGGGGAGCCACAGAGUUGGGGAAAGGGUGCGCGGGUGUUUCCGGCGACUUGGGGGGGCUUACCAUACUGGAAGUAGCCGGUGCCAUAUCCGGGCCGGUACCUGCUCCCAGGCCUGGGCCUUUCGUAUGUGUCGUAGUAGUUGUAAUAGGGGUUGUCGUCGGUGUACUUGUAGGGGUUGUACGGGUCGUCGCCCACCAUGCCGUCCACGUCCACGCGGUUGGGCGGCCGCAGGUUACUGAGCGCUGGGAGCUCUCCUGGCGCCGUCUGGUUACCGGUGCGCGGGGCCCCAGACAUUGAGUAGCCAGCUUGGAACCAGUGGCGGGCGGCGGGCCUGGGGCGGCCAGCUGCGGCUCCAGACGAGCCGGCCGUCCGCGCCCGCGCCGCCACCGUGCGGUUGUUGCGGAGCAGCAAGAUUGGCGUGCGCAGCUGCGGGGCGGUGGCGUUGGCGGCGCCCGGGGCGGUGGCGCCCGGGUCUCGCCGGCGCUGUGGCUGGUACUGCGAGCCCAGGCUCAGCAAGCUGAACACCUGCCCGUUGUUCUCCCAUUGGAUCUUCUGGCGCCAGGCGCCCGGAGCCGCCGGCUGCUCGCGAGGCGGCUGCUGGUGGCCGGCGGCCGGCGGGGCGCAGCGCACGAGUGCGCAGAGCUGCAGCGGCCCGAGCAGGAGUGCGGUC
Long non-coding RNA from Globicephala melas (long-finned pilot whale), 1624 nucleotides. RefSeq lists it as uncharacterized. Lineage: Eukaryota; Metazoa; Chordata; Mammalia; Artiodactyla; Delphinidae. The record is from RefSeq and is a predicted model, not a curated record.